RNAcentral lists this ribosomal RNA (707 nucleotides) under Escherichia coli. Its description in RNAcentral is "partial 23S ribosomal RNA". It matches the Rfam family "Bacterial large subunit ribosomal RNA", at positions 486 to 1194 of the family's 2925-position model. The record is from RNAcentral. Lineage: Bacteria; Pseudomonadati; Pseudomonadota; Gammaproteobacteria; Enterobacterales; Enterobacteriaceae.
GAUAGUGAACCAGUACCGUGAGGGAAAGGCGAAAAGAACCCCGGCGAGGGGAGUGAAAAAGAACCUGAAACCGUGUACGUACAAGCAGUGGGAGCACGCUUAGGCGUGUGACUGCGUACCUUUUGUAUAAUGGGUCAGCGACUUAUAUUCUGUAGCAAGGUUAACCGAAUAGGGGAGCCGAAGGGAAACCGAGUCUUAACUGGGCGUUAAGUUGCAGGGUAUAGACCCGAAACCCGGUGAUCUAGCCAUGGGCAGGUUGAAGGUUGGGUAACACUAACUGGAGGACCGAACCGACUAAUGUUGAAAAAUUAGCGGAUGACUUGUGGCUGGGGGUGAAAGGCCAAUCAAACCGGGAGAUAGCUGGUUCUCCCCGAAAGCUAUUUAGGUAGCGCCUCGUGAAUUCAUCUCCGGGGGUAGAGCACUGUUUCGGCAAGGGGGUCAUCCCGACUUACCAACCCGAUGCAAACUGCGAAUACCGGAGAAUGUUAUCACGGGAGACACACGGCGGGUGCUAACGUCCGUCGUGAAGAGGGAAACAACCCAGACCGCCAGCUAAGGUCCCAAAGUCAUGGUUAAGUGGGAAACGAUGUGGGAAGGCCCAGACAGCCAGGAUGUUGGCUUAGAAGCAGCCAUCAUUUAAAGAAAGCGUAAUAGCUCACUGGUCGAGUCGGCCUGCGCGGAAGAUGUAACGGGGCUAAACCAUGCAC